This 7118-nucleotide long non-coding RNA is filed under the name Xyrichtys novacula (pearly razorfish). The record is from RNAcentral. Lineage: Eukaryota; Metazoa; Chordata; Actinopteri; Labriformes; Labridae.
CCUUUUUUUAAUUCUGGAUAACGAAGCAGGGAGUGAGCAAAGGAAAAGGUAAUUGAAGGUUUUUUUAUUUCAUUUUUUGUUUUAAUGACAAAAAAGUGUCAAGUGUGCAGACACUGUGAUUUGUCUUAUAUGUCUCCCUAUCCAUUUCAUGGUUGCGUCAUUGUCUUUGAGAAUAUUUAUGUGUUUUUAAGAGUAAGUUUGUGUAUCAACGUGUCCCCGUGCGUGUGUUGUGUGUGCACCUCCCCCCUCCCCCUGUUGUUUGCCCUGUAGAGGGUGUGUAACAUGAUAUCUCUCAGUGUUUAUCCAUCCUUCACUAACUGACAAACUUAUUCACACCAGGCUUCAUUUGCUGCUCGCUACAGCUCCCACAUGGGCUAUAGGGGAGAAUAUCUUUAUCACUUGGCUACAAGACAUCAUAGUAUAAGUUUUAUCUGUUUCUGGAAACUGACAUGGUAAAAGAAGUCCAGAAACAAAACUUAAAAAAAAUCACCCAGUUUCAGUAGAAAUUACCCUGAAGUGUCAUGGCUGCAAUGCCUCAUCGUGAAUUUGAAGAUUUGGUUGAUUAUGAAUGGAGGAGAGGUUGCAAAGUGCUAAACAGUGAGUAAAGCCCUGGAGUGACCAUCAAUCGGAGAAAAUCUCAUGAGGCGGGUAAAAGGACAUCAAAAGAAAGACAGGGCCAGACGUUGAGGCAGACAUGAACAAAGUGAGCAGGGGAGAGAUAGGGAGCAAAGACAGGGUUGUCAUUAGCAAUGUAAUUCAUUCCUUGAGGCUACAUGAAAGCUAAGACAGAGAGGAACAAUAGCUCAGGUGGAGACCACAGUUUGAAGGGCUAGCUUUUUAAAACUGUCUCCCUGUGCCUCUAAAACCCUUUUAGUAUUAAAAAGGUUUCCAUGGAGCCAUGAGAACAAAUCACGGAUGGUAUUUACAAGUCAUAGUUUAUGCCAUUUGUAGGCUAUUGAUAAUACUUGUACAGAUAAUAGUGUUCAACAAGUGUACAAGCACUCAUUGUAUCACAGUACUCACAGAAAUAAGUAUGAUGGAAAAAAUAAUCGAAGGCGGCAGACUCAGUCCUGUGAAAGUAGAAGUGCUGUAGCAGCAAAGAGCCACAGAAGAAAGCAGAACAAGCAUCAGCACAUUAGAUACUGGUAAAAUCAGAUACUUCUUCAGUAGGAGGAGCUGGGGUGGAGGUGGAAGGAAAUGCAGUUUGUACAGGAAACAUCAAGAGAAGGUUUGACACUUGUUUUGACAUCAAAGUGGAUCUAUAAAAACUAAUCAGCUGAGCUGUGCUGGUUUACAAGGAGUGGAUGUAUAAUGGGCUUAGCUUGAUUUCUGCCUGAACUAACACCAAUGCCAGCUAACAAAAGCUGGAACUUAGAGAUUGGAGAUGGAAAUGUCGUCCUGCUACAUUUUAGAUCAAAAUAUUAAGUUGUGGAACAAUAAGCAUUACCUGUUGACUUAACUAAAUAAUAAGUAAAGCAGCAAACUUUGGUCUUUUUAUAGAGAAAGAGGGCAACCCUUGGUUAUAUCAUGAACAGCUACUGAUUUGUUUUUGUGAAAACACAUGCGGCUCAUCUGGGCGAUUUCGCCAUCUAUCAAAUCUUUGUACACAGAGUUCAGGAGGCUGAAUCCUCCGUUAACAUGUCAGACACAAUCUGUCCAUUCAGCUCGUCAUGAUUGCACACGCACACACACACACACACACACACACACACACACACACACACACACACACACACACACACACACACACACACACACACACACACAGACUUAACUAUCAGACUUGGGUAAUGGAUCCGAGCUUCUCAGCAAAAACAGUGGAGCCAUGCAGUCAUGACACAGUGAACAAUACCAGCUCUUCAAAAUCACACUUUUCCUAUUAGGACUGGCAAAGGGAGUUUUAUGUAAGUAUGUGUGUGGCAGGGCAGACAUGUCACUUCAACUGAAGAGGAAAGAGGAAGUUAGUCAUGGAAAAAGAUGGGUGUGAUCUGGAUGCACUGUUGCUAACAGAAGAAGUGAAAAAUAAUGUACAACCGGAAACAAAGGACUUCAUCUCAUUUACUGACGAUCUGAAAAUGUCUGUCUCUUGCACAGCAUGAAUACAAUCCAAACAAAUAUGAAAUGUCUGAUUGGAAAGAUGCGUAGCUGGAUUUGUUCUAACUUAUUAUAUUUUCACUUUUAUUUUCAUUCCCUGACCAGGCUCUGAUCUGAUGCUACAUUUACAAACAUCAUUGUCCCUUUGGAUGAACAACAGCACGGCUUUUUUGUGGGUGUAUUAUGAUUUAAUAUGUUGUCAAAAUAUGAAUGCUGUAGUAUUUUUCAUGUUGAAAUUUGCAUUCUUUUUGUCUAACCUCCUUACUAAAUGCUUUAAAACCUUCUGGUUGCAGUUGUAAUCAUUUUUCUGUCUGUCCAAAGGAGCAAGUCUGGUGACAUUAUAAAGGAGCCAUCCAAGGGUCAAAGGGCCUUGGAGGUGAAGGGACAAAAAAGAAGAAACACCUGAAAAUGGAGAGCUUCCCAUUUGAAUGAUUUAAUGAGGGUGAGGACAGCAAUUGUCUGUGUGACAUCCAUUCGAGUUCAAAACCAGCUCACAACUUCAGUUCUGCCCCCUGAUUAUCUCAGGGAUUUUAACUGUUUGAGGGUUCAUAACUCUCUUUGAUGAAAUCACUUAAAAUCUGACACAAUCUAGAGAGCAGCCCCAGCUCCUUAUCCAAAAACAACAAAUCAUAGUCAGAAAUUUGGGCGUUAACUCAACUGAAACUUUACUCUUUCCUUUUCCUUUUCACUUGAAGCCCUCAAAGUAUUUUAUUUUUUUAACUUGUUUACUCAAUGCCCAUAUCUGUAUCUACACUUCAUCAAGCCAUGGUUUAACUGUACCCUGCCUAAUAUUCACUAUCUUAGCGUCCCUAUGUACGGCUGUUAGCGUGUGUGUGUGUUUGUGUGUGUGCAUGUGUGUGUAUGUGGCUAUAGGGGAGACUGUGUAUGUGACCUUUUUGUUUUUAAAUGGACUGUAAAGCACUUUGUGUUACCAUCCUUUGUAUGAAAAGUGCUUUAUAAAUAAAGUUUGAUUUGAUUUGAUAGCGUGACUAAACCAAGUACAGUAUAUAAACAUGCUGAGAGUUGAUUUGGGUUGUUCAGCUGUUGGGUCAUUUUGUUGUGAUGAUUUUGUUUGCUGUCUUGAUUUUAUUGUAUGGUUUUUGUGUAAAUUUGUCUGUAUUUUUCUCUGUAUUUUUUAUGUGUUUAGGGUCCUUGCUUAUUGUUAUUUGUAUUCAUGCUUGCAUGUAAAAGCACUUUACAAACCCUUGUUUAAAGGUGCAAUUGAAAUAAAACCAUCAUCAUUGUUAUACUAACAUCAAGUGUCAUCCCCCCCCCCCCCCCAAAGAUAGAUACUGUCGGUUAAAUACCAAACAUUUUUCAUUUGUGGCUACGGUGGUCUUAGGAAAUUGAGUUAAAGCCAGGGAUGCCUCCCGGUCUGAAACACUGCGGUCAAAGAAGAACAAGUUAAUCUAACAGGUUGAAUUCUUCUUCCACUUUUCUCCUCCACCAUUUCUUUCCCUCAGAUGCACCCCUCCUCCCUCCAUUCCUCCUCUUUCCUCCCUCUCUUAUGAAAUUCUCAGCUGCUGGGUCAUGUUAGGUCAUCCCUUUAGAGUCUAAUUUAGAUGUUUUAACUGCACCUUGUUGGGCAACACUCCAGCAUCUGGUGUGAGUUUGAAGAAUGACAAGGAUUUUGGCAUUAGUCUUGACAUGAAAUUUUGCUGAACUGGCAAAAUGUUGCCUGAUCUAAGUGGAACUCAUUGUAAACUGUGUGUUUUCAGUUUUAUUUCAUGACCAAGGCAAGAAUAUCUCACUAAGUCUCAACUUUGCUCACAUCCCUAGCUGGUGUCCACAAAGUUCAUCAAAUUAACUGUCAAACUUAUUUGUAGUAGUUGUCUUUAAAUGCCCUAUAAAAAAAGAAAUCAAAUAAACAUGUCAAAUGCAAUACAUCGAUGAUACUGUGCAGUAUAACUGAGCAAUAGGCCACAUAUGUGUAGACAAGGAAUUUAAGAUUUUUCCGGCAGUUAUUCUGGUCGUGCUGCAGCCAAAGGAAUCCCAGACAUCCACUCUGUCUUCAUGCCUCAAACCUUCAGCCUAAACUCACCAGCCCACAGCUCAAACCACUGACAGCCCCUCCACCCAACACCUUCUGCUACUGCACCCGAAACGACCUCAUAACUCCUCCUCAGUCUGUCGCAAUGGCUGAUAAAUGUGGCGUAACAACUACACCACUUGGCAGAAUCCUGGUUUGUUCAAACUUUGCAUUCAUUCAGUAUGUCAAAAAAAGGCGAUAAUAAAAUCCUCCUGAUUGCUCUAGAGUUGUGCUAAAGCAGAGGACACUAAAAUGUCUCUGUGUGAAUGUGAAAUGGUGUUUAAUGUAGGGAUGCCCUGUCUUGACCUGCCAAAAACCUUCACACUUCAAAUGCUCUCUAUCACAGACUGCGCAGUCUGGAGAGGUCAGAGGUCACUUCAGAAGGGGAUGCCAUGUGUCUGUGCCCCUGUGCUCUCUUCCAGCUGUCCCAACUGGCAGCAUAACCCCAGAAUAGCCAUUCUUAUCUCUCUGUCUGGGUUUGUUUUGUGUUUGUGUGUCAGAACAAGACAGUUGGUGAGCGUUUGUGAUGACAACUUGAAUAUCUUUGUUUCAAGGAAGAGGAGCCGGUCAUGUGGCGAAGUGUUUAUCUAAAGGAAGGAAGGAAGAUUAGUGAGGCUAGUGUCCUAUUUUUGGUAACGCAACAUUAGAUAGAGGGGUUGUGCUCUGUACAUAUACACAGUUAUUUUAGACCACGCUACAUUUCCUGCUAUAGAAAUAAUUGAUGUCCGCACAUGAAAGAUUAGUUUGACAUAAACAAAUAAAAAUUCUUAUGGUUUGAUCACAUGUAUAACAGAAGGUCGAGUUGGCGUUUUAACCUAAACCUCAAUCAAAAUGUUCAGAAUAUCUUACAGACUAGACUGUAGGGGCUUUGAAGAGCAUCUGAUCCGAACACGUGUACACGUGCAUGUGUGUAUUUUGAGGGUGUGUUGUAUAGGUGUGCCUUCGUUAAAUGUAAUCAUUAGCUAUAACAGAAAGGGCUGAUAAAUCAUGACAUUUGUGUAAAUUACAGACCUUUAAUGGCUGCUUUCUUUUCAUACUUGUGCCAGAACUCAUUUCCUUGUUGACUUGUGGAGUUGAAGUGGCUCUGCCCUCUUUGUGUUUGUGUUUUCAUGGGACAAACCCUGAUAUUGCUGCGCUCCCACCCUGAAUCUUACAGUCAUUUUCAGCUUCUUGUCCUUUCCAUUUAGAGUUUGCAGCAAAAUUUCAGGAUGCCUCUUUUGGCUUUCACUGUCUCUAUGCUAUUGUUUCAUGUGGCCAGGUGCUUAAACAAAUGAUUGGACCUCUGAGAAUGCAAAUCUCAUGGAAAGCAGUGUGUGUCAGUGUGACUACAUGUGAGACCUUUCAUCCUCAUCAGACUGGUUUGGUUACACAUAUGCAUACACACAAGCACACUUUUGGUUUAGCUGAGGUUUGAGAAUGUAGUAAUGGUUCAGAGCAGCUACAAUACACACGCACACGCACACGCACACGCACACACACACACACACACACACACACACACACACACACACACACACACACACACACACAGAUGCCACAUUAAGUUACUUCCAAAUAUCUUUUCAGCUAUUUCUUUUAUUUUCCAUGUCUGUCUUCAAACAGUCGACAAAGCAGAACCACUCAAACGUAUCCUGGUUUUUAAUGAGCACGAAUCUGUCAUCAAUUUAAUAUUAUAUCACUAACCAUAAAAGAGAUAUCGAUCUUAAUGGGUUUUCUUACCUGUUUAAAUAAAGGUUAAAUUUAAAAAUUAAGUUAUUUUUACCAUGUAGCUGUUUGACCAAAAGGAGAAAAUGUGGCAUAGCAAGUCUUUUUUUAAAAUGUAUUAUUACUCAGUUUAUCGUAAAAAUCACUUAUUUUAGACACACAUCUUAAUCACUAUGAUAUAAAAUGCUUUCCAACAAGUCUUAACACAGCAAGAUAGAGGAAGCUAAUUUACAUAUAUGUUUUAGCUUGACAAAAUAAGGCAAGAUGACUCAUCACACAAUAUGUGACACUAUGAAAUAAUAUAACACUUUACAAUACAAUAUGAUGCUAUCUAGUACUGUUUAGUAGAUAAUGAUUUGGUAUAUGACACACCAACAUGACGCUACUGGGAGGAUAAAAUAAGAUAAUAUUUAAUAUGACAUAAUUUGUGACAUGGUUGGGAUACAAUACAGUGCGACAUAAUACAAAACAAUACCUUGUUAUUGUUUCAUCAUUUAUGUUACCUUAUGAUAUAAUACUAUACGAUACAGUGUGAUAUGAUACACUGUGACACGUCACAUUAUGACAGACAUAUUACAACAUGUAUAGCCCAUCAGUCUUUGAUGAAUCCCUGACCCUGACCCUAACCCUAACCCAAAACACAAAAUAUUACAAUACAGUAUGAUACAACAACAUAAGAUAUGAUACAAUAUGAUACGAUACAAUAAGAUAUUAUUUGCUAUGGCGCAGUACAUUAUGGUUUUAACUCAUAGAUCACAAUUCUAUAUUACAAUACAGUACACCCAAUUAUGUUAUGUUUUGUUAUGAAAUGUCUCUUUACCUUAGGUUACUUUACAUUACAAUUUGACACAUUGUGAUGCAAUACAUUGUGAUAUGAUACAAUGAGGUAUGAUACGAUAUGAAAUUUUAGCAUACAAUAUGAUAUGAAACAAUAUGAUUGCUAUAAGAUGCGAUAUAAUAUAAUAUGAUAUGAUAUGAUAUGAUUAGAUUAGAUUUGAUACAAUACCAUUUGAUAGGACAGUGUAAGAAACCAAGCAAUCAGUCAAAGACAUAGAUCUGAAAAAAGAUCUCCUUCCUUUAAUUUAAUUUGGAAAAGAAGAAAUCAAUAAUAAAAUAUUCAACUUAAUAUGGUAGAAAUUAUGCGAAAUCUGGGCCCAAACUAAAAGUGGUCGACCAAGGAAAAAAGAACCCAGAAAAGACAAGUUACAACCUAACAACAUAAUCCAAAUGGACAUAAGUGAGACAUGUCAGGAGUUUAAAUAGACAAAGGACAAGUCCAACAUAAACACAA